Molecule: non-coding RNA, 440 nt
Organism: Misgurnus anguillicaudatus (oriental weatherfish)
Lineage: Eukaryota; Metazoa; Chordata; Actinopteri; Cypriniformes; Cobitidae
Source: RefSeq, a predicted model, not a curated record
ACCUAUAAAGCCACAGUUUUUUUAUUGCAUAUAUUUUUGUUAAAUUACUUUAUAAUAAGAUGCAAUAACUUUAUGAAAAACAUUUUCAUAUUUAAUGUUAUAGUACAUUUUGUUUGAUAAUACAAAGUUUUUUAUUCAAUCACUAUUUCAGGUUUGGAACAUGCUGCUGAAGUUGGUUAUCAGGGCUCCAGGAAAUGUAUCAAACUGCAGGAUUGAUUUAUUUUUGCUCAUUAGUGAAGGUGGUAAGCUAAACUGACUGUGGACUAAUGUAUGCAUUGUUGAUGACACUGAAAUCGAGGAAGACAUUCUACAAGAUGUGCUGCUUACAGUUAGAGGACAAAAUGAAGAUGCAACAAGCAGCUUCUGCCACUGUCAUUUACCAUCUGAACUUGACCAAAGUCGUUCCAAGAAAUCUAAGACAACAGAUGACUCCAUGACCU